Molecule: ribosomal RNA, 253 nt
Filed under: uncultured bacterium
Lineage: Bacteria
Description: partial 16S ribosomal RNA
Rfam family: Bacterial small subunit ribosomal RNA
Source: RNAcentral
UACGUAGGGACCGAGCGUUGUCCGGAAUCAUUGGGCGUAAAGAGCGUGUAGGCGGCCACUUAAGUCCUGCGUGAAAUCUCGGGGCUCAACCCCGAGCGGUCGUGAGAAACUGGCAGGCUAGAGUGCGGGAGAGGAGAGUGGAAUUCCUGGUGUAGCGGUGAAAUGCGCAGAUAUCAGGAAGAACACCCGUGGCGAAGGCGGCUCUCUGGAACGCAACUGACGCUGAGACGCGAAAGCGUGGGGAGCAAACAGG